UGCGCAGGCGGUUAUAUAAGUCAGAUGUGAAAUCCCCGGGCUUAACCUGGGAAUGGCAUUUGAGACUGUAUGGCUAGAGUGUGUCAGAGGGGGGUAGAAUUCCACGUGUAGCAGUGAAAUGCGUAGAGAUGUGGAGGAAUACCGAUGGCGAAGGCAGCCCCCUGGGAUAACACUGACGCUCAUGCACGAAAGCGUGGGGAGCAAACAGGAUUAGAUACCCUGGUAGUCCACGCCCUAAACGAUGUCAACUAGUUGUUGGAGCUACUUAGGCUUUGGUAACGCAGCUAACGCGAGAAGUUGACCGCCUGGGGAGUACGGUCGCAAGAUUAAA
RNAcentral lists this ribosomal RNA (331 nucleotides) under uncultured bacterium. RNAcentral describes it as "bacterial SSU rRNA". It matches the Rfam family "Bacterial small subunit ribosomal RNA", at positions 568 to 898 of the family's 1533-position model. The record is from RNAcentral.